CCGUUCAGGGGUAAACCUGAGAAACCCAAAAGAUCGAAUGGGGAGAUUCAACGUGAACUUUGCCGAUUGCCGUGUAACGCGCGAUAUUCGUUAUCUCGGUAACGAGUACGUCGUUGCUGCGGUUUUCAUUGGUUAAGUAAGCGUGCACUUCUCCCCUAGUAGGACGUCGCGACCCGUUGGGUGCCGGCCUACGGCCCGCAAGGUCGUCUGUUGCUUGGGCGUUUACGCGCCUCUCGUGGCAGACCUGCGGAUGCCCGGCCGGCUGCCCGGCGGUAGUGAUUAAUCAAGAAUUGGUAUUUGGCCGCAUCUCGUAUGUGCGUACCGGCUCAUCGGCAGGCUUGCCUUGCUCGGUAAACGGACCUAGCGCCGUUGCCGGGUACUUGGUGGGUCGUUCGCUGACGAUGUCCUCGUACUGGCUAUUACCGGUCGGCGACGCUACUGCUUUGGGUACUUUCAGGACCCGUCUUGAAACACGGACCAAGGAGUCUAACAUGUGCGCGAGUCAUUGGGACUUGUUUAAGCCUAAAGGCGCAAUGAAAGUGAAGGUCUUCCCUAGCGUUGGCCGAGGGAGGAUGGUCGGCUUCAAGGAGCCGACUCGCACUCCCGGGGCGUCUCGUGCUCAUUACGAGCAGAGGCGCACCUAGAGCGUACACGUUGGGACCCGAAAGAUGGUGAACUAUGCCUGGUCAGGACGAAGUCAGGGGAAACCCUGAUGGAGGUCCGUAGCGAUUCUGACGUGCAAAUCGAUCGUCGGAACUGGGUAUAGGGGCGAAAGACUAAUCGAACCAUC
This 790-nucleotide ribosomal RNA is filed under the name Aphytis melinus. RNAcentral describes it as "partial 28S ribosomal RNA". It matches the Rfam family "Eukaryotic large subunit ribosomal RNA", at positions 405 to 944 of the family's 3401-position model. The record is from RNAcentral. Lineage: Eukaryota; Metazoa; Arthropoda; Insecta; Hymenoptera; Aphelinidae.